Non-coding RNA from Paramuricea clavata, 830 nucleotides. Lineage: Eukaryota; Metazoa; Cnidaria; Anthozoa; Malacalcyonacea; Plexauridae. The record is from the annotation of a GenBank genome assembly.
GCUAUAAAUAAAUUCACCUUUAUAAACUUUGCCGAGCAAGGCUCACAAGUCACAACGAAGCGUGUUGUUUACAUGUUGCCGUCUUGUUAACAAAUUUUCUUCGCCAUUAUUGCCCAGAAUUUUAUGACAUUACGUGUACAUGUAGCUAAAAGUUGCCUGGUUGUUUUGCUGUUGCUAAACUUUAUGGAUGGAUGUAAAAAGUUGUUAAUGAAGUUGAAUAUGUUGGAAAGAGACAGAUAGUUAAUACCGAACAAGUGGCAAAUAAGCAAGACAACAAUAACUUGAAACACAUUUUUGUGGCAUAUAUUUCGGGCAGAGACUCGGAACCAGUUCCGGCCGAACUGUCUAGAGGCACUCGCUAACCUAAGUUUUAUCUAUAGAAACAGGCGAAUCUCUAGACUGCAGAGGGCAUGCUUGACUCUGUGCAUAUCGUCAGUCAGCGAUUUGAGACCUAGUUGAUCUGGUGAACGACUAUUGGUAUAGGGCACAUUACCCAGGGUACUCAAAGCUGGCUGAAGAUACAUACAAAAACUGUGGCUAGUUGUUCUAGAGGAACAGGCGGACCUCUAGAUAACAGGGGAACAGGCGAACCCCCGUUCAGAUCCGUCAGGCCGUCGACAUUAAACAACUAUUGCUAUAUAGGGCAUAUUACCCCGGGCCGCAACUGAUAACCUGACUGACCACAUCGAGUCUCCAUAGGUCUGCUCAUUUAGGUCUUCAGUGCGACCUGAAUGAGCAGUGAUUGCGCUACACGUGGUGAACGUUGUCCAUCGGACAGCACUUCUCUGCCAAUAAUGACAAUCUACACGAUGUAUAGGUUGUCAUUUCCG